RNAcentral lists this ribosomal RNA (777 nucleotides) under uncultured bacterium. RNAcentral's name for it is "bacterial SSU rRNA". It matches the Rfam family "Bacterial small subunit ribosomal RNA", at positions 29 to 780 of the family's 1533-position model. The record is from RNAcentral.
ACGAACGCUGGCGGCGUGCUUAACACAUGCAAGUCGAACGAGAAAGGGACCUUCGGGUUCUGAGUAGAGUGGCGCACGGGUGAGUAACACGUGGAUAAUCUGCCUGAUGGACAGGGAUAACACCCCGAAAGGGGUGCUAAUACCGGAUAAGCCCACAGCAUCUACGGAUGCAGCGGGAAAAGGGGGCCUCUUCAUGAAAGCUUCCGUCAUCAGAUGAGUCCGCGGUCCAUUAGCUAGUUGGUAGGGUAAAGGCCUACCAAGGCGACGAUGGAUAGCUGGUUUGAGAGAAUGAUCAGCCACACUGGAACUGAGACACGGUCCAGACUCCUACGGGAGGCAGCAGUGGGGAAUCUUGCGCAAUGGGGGCAACCCUGACGCAGCAACGCCGCGUGAGUGAUGAAGGUUUUCGGAUCGUAAAGCUCUGUCAGGAGGGAAGAAACCCCGAACGGUUAAUACCCGAUCGGAUUGACGGUACCUCCAAAGGAAGCACCGGCUAACUCCGUGCCAGCAGCCGCGGUAAUACGGAGGGUGCGAGCGUUGUUCGGAAUUAUUGGGCGUAAAGCGCGUGCAGGCGGUUUGUUAAGUCUGAUGUGAAAGCCCCGGGCUCAACCUGGGAAGUGCAUUGGAAACUGGCUGACUUGAGUACGGGAGAGGGAAGUGGAAUUUCGAGUGUAGGGGGUGAAAUCCGUAGAUUUUCGAAGAACCCCAGUGGCGAAGGCGGCUUCCUGGACCGAUACUGACGCUGAGACCCGAAAGCGUGGGGAGCGAAAAGGAUUA